Molecule: long non-coding RNA, 1065 nt
Filed under: Manihot esculenta (cassava)
Lineage: Eukaryota; Viridiplantae; Streptophyta; Magnoliopsida; Malpighiales; Euphorbiaceae
Description: long non-coding RNA (MESC_LNC000511)
Source: RNAcentral
AAAAAGGGUUAAUUUUUGGUGAAUGAUAGAUUGUUAUCAGGCGGACAAGCAUCUAAUCAUUGUUGGAAUUGGACUGAAAAUGGUAAAACUUGACUAGAAAAUAAGUGAUAAAAAUGAGGGACAGGCACCUCUCCCUUGUUCUCUUUUGUGUUCUGUCGUUUAGGGUUUUAAUACCCUUGCCCCUUAGCCGAUGUGGGUUUGAUGUGUAUAAUUUUUGUUGGUUUUUAUUUUUCCCGGUAGGUUGUGCUUAUGUGAGGGUUUCUACCUAAUGCCUGCAGCUUGAGCUUUUUCUCUAUGCUGAAAGUUGCUUAGUUGAUUCGGUUAUGGCUGCGGUAGUCUCCAUUUUGGGAGACUUCAAGGGGAACAGAGGAUGAUAUCUUGAGGACGUAUCUUCUGUAUCUUCUGUCAAAAUGAAGGCGUCAGUACCUUAAUGACUAUAUGAGAGUGAGAAGCCAAGAGCUAUGCCAAGCCUCUCUAGAUCUCGACUAUUGAGUUUUCUGGGCUCUCUUAAAGAUUGUCGAUGGAUGGUAGCAGCCAACUCUGCUCUUUUUCAUUUAGGGAUCUCUGUUUGGGUUGACUCAUUCUUUGACUUUGCAUGUCUCUUUGUUGUAUUUUCUUGGCCUACAUGUGGCCCUGGUGUUCCUGGUGAUGGAGCAGAUGGUUCCAGAAGGUUGAAGAUGGACGAGUGGCACUAAGAAUCAUGGAAUCGGGUCCCUGAACCAGGUUGGAGCUUUGAGCUGGUGCCUUUUAGAGUCUUAGGAUUUUCUUUAUAUUCUGGGUCACAAGCCUUUCUUUCUAGACCUGAUAGAUUAUUAUCUUUCUGUUUUGGGCAUCUGGCCUUGAUGAUGUAUCUCAGCCCUUGGGCUUGCACUUUCACUUUAUCAGCUAUGAAAUAUUUUUUAUCUCCUGAAAAAAAAAUCAGUUGUAUAUUAAUAAUAGAACAGAAGACCUAAAAAUGGUAAAGGGGAAAACGAUAUAUCAAAGGAAAACUUUACAGAUUAAAUGAAGCAUAAACCAGAAGAGAAGAGGUGAAAGGACCAAACCAUCUCUACUGGCAAACCCACG